CCUACGGGAGGCAGCAGUGGGGAAUAUUGCACAAUGGGGGAAACCCUGAUGCAGCGACGCCGCGUGAAGGAUGAAGUAUUUCGGUAUGUAAACUUCUAUCAGCAGGGAAGAAGAUGACGGUACCUGACUAAGAAGCCCCGGCUAACUACGUGCCAGCAGCCGCGGUAAUACGUAGGGGGCAAGCGUUAUCCGGAUUUACUGGGUGUAAAGGGAGCGUAGACGGCAUGGCAAGUCUGAUGUGAAAGCCCGGGGCUCAACCCCGGGACUGCAUUGGAAACUGUCUGGCUAGAG
This 291-nucleotide ribosomal RNA is filed under the name uncultured bacterium. RNAcentral's name for it is "partial 16S ribosomal RNA". It matches the Rfam family "Bacterial small subunit ribosomal RNA", at positions 338 to 646 of the family's 1533-position model. The record is from RNAcentral.